UACGGAGGGGGCUAGCGUUGUUCGGAAUUACUGGGCGUAAAGGGCGCGUAGGCGGCCUUCUAAGUCGAACGUGAAAUCCCCGGGCUCAACCCGGGAACUGCGUCCGAUACUGGAAGGCUUGAAUCCGGGAGAGGGAUGCGGAAUUCCAGGUGUAGCGGUGAAAUGCGUAGAUAUCUGGAGGAACACCGGUGGCGAAGGCGGCAUCCUGGACCGGCAUUGACGCUGAGGCGCGAAAGCCAGGGGAGCAAACGGG
RNAcentral lists this ribosomal RNA (253 nucleotides) under uncultured bacterium. RNAcentral's name for it is "partial 16S ribosomal RNA". It matches the Rfam family "Bacterial small subunit ribosomal RNA", at positions 524 to 776 of the family's 1533-position model. The record is from RNAcentral.